This 191-nucleotide non-coding RNA is filed under the name Pseudovibrio exalbescens. Lineage: Bacteria; Pseudomonadati; Pseudomonadota; Alphaproteobacteria; Hyphomicrobiales; Stappiaceae. The record is from RNAcentral.
ACAAUAUGCAGUGUCUUUGGUUCUCGCGAGUCGAGCUAAGAGGGAAGCUGGUGUAACUCCAGCACUGCCCCCGCAACUGUUACCGGCAAGUUGCUGCCCAAAUUGCCACUGUCGUGCGUUUCACUACGGGAAGGCGGCGCAGCAAUGCUCGAGUUGGAAGUCAGGAGACCUGCCGAGGCGACAUAUGACGA